GACGGACGCUGGCGGCGUGCUUAACACAUGCAAGUCGAACGGAAAGGCCCUGCUUUUGUGGGGUGCUCGAGUGGCGAACGGGUGAGUAACACGUGAGUAACCUGCCCUUGACUUUGGGAUAACUUCAGGAAACUGGGGCUAAUACCGGAUAGGAGCUCCUGCUGCAUGGAGGGGCUUGGAAAGUGUCGGCGGUUGGGGAUAGACUCGCGGCUUAUCAGUUUGCUGGUGGGGUAGUGGCUUACCAAGGCUUUGACGGGUGGCCGGCCUGAGAGGGUGGCCGGCCACAGUGGGGCUGAGAUACGGCCCAGACGCCUACGGGAGGCAGCAGAGGGGAAUAUUGCACAAUGGGCGGAAGCCUGAUGCAGCAACGCCGCGUGCGGGAUGCCGGCGUUCGGGUUGUAAACCGCUUUCGCCUGUGACGAAGCGUGAGUGACGGUAAUGGGUAAAGAAGCACCGGCUAACUACGUGCCAGCCGCCGCCGUAA
RNAcentral lists this ribosomal RNA (484 nucleotides) under uncultured bacterium. Its description in RNAcentral is "partial 16S ribosomal RNA". It matches the Rfam family "Bacterial small subunit ribosomal RNA", at positions 28 to 523 of the family's 1533-position model. The record is from RNAcentral.